This is a long non-coding RNA of Nymphaea colorata (pocket water lily), 1411 nucleotides long. RefSeq lists it as uncharacterized. The record is from RefSeq and is a predicted model, not a curated record. NCBI's taxonomy places the organism in Eukaryota, Viridiplantae, Streptophyta, Magnoliopsida, Nymphaeales, Nymphaeaceae. The transcript is spliced from 4 exons.
UCUCCCUCUCUAAUCCUUGCUCGGUUUUGCUCGCUCAAGCGAGCAACUCCCUCUCAGAGAGAGCGUUUGGUUCUAUAAACCCUCGCUUCUCUGUUCAAGCGAGGGUUUUGCUCCCUCAAGCGAGCAACCAUCGUUCAGAGGGACCUUCGCUCGCAGAAGCGAGCAAUCGAUCUCUCGAGCCAGAUUCUUUUGAGAUGUCAUUCUCUGCAAGCGGUUAAAACGUAGUUUCACACGCUCACGCCCUUUUUUCUCAUUGAUUCAUUCCGUCAGAGAGGGGAGGGAAGAGGCGGGAGAAAGGAGGGCGGAAAAAUGCUGCACGAGGUUCUCCUUGCUUCUGCUGGGCCACACAGGGGAUUUCGUGAUCAAGCAGAGGGAUCAAUCCGGCGAGCUCGUGUUCAAACUAUCUCCCGAUCUUACCUUCGUUCAGCCUUCCUGAAGAUUAUGACUGAACCAAUAGAACAGAUGUUUAUAUAGGCAAGGAAGACGUGAAAGCUGCAGAAAAUGAAGGCAAUUCAUGAUGGUAAUUUUUUUGAGUAGGUGUUUCCUAGUUCUAUGCCUUAAAAGGACAAAUUAUGUACAUGAUUGGGGAAUACGCUGUUUAUACUAAAGCAACUAUUUUUUCUCUUAAAUCUUGCAACUUGAGGAUGACACCUCUAUUAACUUAUUUGAUAUGCCAUAUGUAUGGGUAUGUAAUGCCUGUCACAUUCCUCUAUCUGUAUUCUGUAGUGCUUGUCAAUCUUGUUAUAUGUACACUGGCAAUUGUGGGACACUGGCAAUUGUGGGACUUCUAUUCUGUUGCCAGUGCUUUCUUGAGGAGAGCCGCCGACUAAUGUGCCUUCCACCCCAUUAUUUAACUGCCGAAGCUGACCUAAUGGUUCCACUUCAUUUGUAACCGGACAAGGAACACCGCAAUUCUCCAACUCCCGCCUUUUAGUCCCCAAUCACUGUCUCUGGAAAUAUCAUCGGUCCCAGAGGCACGGCGGAUGUUGCCGGAAAGCAAGGGCUUUUUGCGAGGGAAUGCUUACUGUAACCAAAGAAUUCAGUCCUAUAUGGACCAGCCGCUCCUCCAUACUAGUGCUCGUGUCACCGAUGGAGGCAGGAGUGUCCAGACGAUCUGUGCGGGAACAAGCUUUGAGGAUUCGUUAUUCCUUUCGAUUUCUUCGGUGGAAUUGCGAAAGCGAAGGGUGAAUUUGAUGAAUUCAGAAACUAUUCCGGACUUCAACCCGUCAGAAGAUCGAUCAGUUAUGAAUAGAAGAGGCGAUAAAUAAUUGCUUCACAAAUCGGAUAAAUGGAAGCCGGGCAAGCCAAUGCGAAUGAGGCUGCGAAUUCAUGGAUUGGAAAACUGUAACCGCUAAAAUGGCCCUGUUUGUGAGCCUCUCUCUCUCUCUCUCUCUAUUUCGCUCUCGGCUUC